CACUGAAAUACAAACAUCCCCACUAAUACAACUUUCACCCAACUUUCAGCAACAGUGACACUAAAAUUAAAUUGAAAAUAAAGUUCACAAACAUCAUCCCCACUAAGAUUUUAAACCACUUUUCCAACCUAAGUAAGGUUUUCUCCAUAGAAGCCAUUCUCAUCUUUUCAAGAUAACUUUCUUCCAUACUCAUCAAACCCACUUCUUCAGCUCGUGCAAUAGCACUCCUUUCUUCUACCACUCCUUGAUUUCCUUCUUCCAAGCACCACUCAAAGAAGUUGCACCCAACCAAUUCGUCAUUCCCACCCUGUUCAAGAACAACACAAAGAGCUUCGUCAAAACCCAAAAUUUAGG
RNAcentral lists this long non-coding RNA (354 nucleotides) under Vigna radiata. Its description in RNAcentral is "long non-coding RNA (VRAD_LNC012995)". Lineage: Eukaryota; Viridiplantae; Streptophyta; Magnoliopsida; Fabales; Fabaceae. The record is from RNAcentral.